AUUAUAUACAUUCACUAUUGAGUGAGCUUCUAGAGACUCACCUUUCUACCUUUCCUUGGAACACUGCUCUGGGAUCUUUGUCUCCCUUAGGCUCCUGGGCAUCAUGCCUUGUUCUAAGCAGCCUAAUCACUUCCAGAGUCUGAGUCUUCUGCACUGGCCCUUGAGCUACCUUGCCAUCUUUUGGAUCUUGCAGCCAUUGUUCUUUUACCUGCUGUUUACAUCCUUGUGGCCACUGCCAGCAUUUUACUUUGUCUGGUUGUUCUUGGACUGGAAGACCCCAGAGCAAGGUAAGACUAGUG
This 299-nucleotide long non-coding RNA is filed under the name Ictidomys tridecemlineatus (thirteen-lined ground squirrel). RNAcentral's name for it is "lncRNA (ENSSTOG00000032009.1)". The record is from RNAcentral. Lineage: Eukaryota; Metazoa; Chordata; Mammalia; Rodentia; Sciuridae.